Long non-coding RNA from Anguilla anguilla (European eel), 1198 nucleotides. RefSeq lists it as uncharacterized. The record is from RefSeq and is a predicted model, not a curated record. The transcript has 2 exons. NCBI's taxonomy places the organism in Eukaryota, Metazoa, Chordata, Actinopteri, Anguilliformes, Anguillidae.
GUGAACAGACUCUGCAAUGCAGCUGCUGGGCUUUGUCCCUGUUCUGUAUGGAAGUGAAGCACGCAAAGGACUCUGAAGACGCAGUGGUUUUAGAGGACCCUGAAGAUACGCUGGUUGUUGAAAUGCUAGUCCUGUUUUCAGUCUGUUAGCAGUGAAGCUGAGCAUCCGUGAGCUCCACACGGAUUCCCCACCUCUGUGGGUAAUUAUUCUUCAUAGCGUGCAUAGCUUUCUCAGGCAUAAUGUGGCAAAAGAGAGUAAAUAAGAUCGGUGGACAUUAAAAGACAGUUAAAGUGCCUAAUUAAGAACAAUUACCAGCUCAUUAUGAUUCAGGGGUUGCCAGAAGCCCACACACAGGGGUUCCCCGAAUUGAGUCAAAGAAACCCCACUCUGAACCCAGGUGGGCUGCUUGUUCUGUCCUCAUCAUUACGCUUAAUGCUCUUAUCACCUCCUGCAGUGUGUGUUAGACUGGCAGAACAGGGGAAUCUGGGAAGCCUUACGAAGCUGCCUGCACCUCCCGCAGGACCGCCGGGAACACCAUUACACUUGGAGCCGCUGGGAACGCCGUUACACUGGGAACACCGCUACGCUGGGAACACCGCUACACUGAGAACACAGCUACACUGGGAAUACCGUUACACUGGGAACACAGCUACACUGGGAAUACCGUUACACUGGAAACACAGCUACACUGGGAAUACCGUUACACUGGGAGCGCCGUUACACUGGGAACGCCAUUAUGUUUGGAGUGCCCGCACAUGCACCGGCAGUCUCACAGGGAGAGAGGACAUGCCUCAUGGGCUUGAAUAAUGGAUGCUCUAAAUGUAGUUACAUAUAUGAAAUAUUAUUUUUUUUAAGAUGGCCAUAGUAAUCUCUGCUGACAAACUAAAUGUGCAUAUCACCCAGGGAUGGAAAGUCCUGCUCAGCUUGUAAAUUUGCGUCUUUCGCAAAAAAAUUUCCUGUUUCCUUAUGGAGAGAGAGGAGAAAAAAAAAGAGUAAGGAGGUGGGUUACAGCCGGUUGCCAUGACCGUCAUGAUUCCAUCUGGGGCCCUUACGUAACUGUGGUGCGAAAGAAUAGCAGAGAGUGGGAAUGAGUUUGUUGGGUACAUGGCAACCCUGCAGGUCAUUGUGUUGCCCUAGACUUAAACAGAAAAUCCUGAACAUGACAUUUUAUUACUAAAAGUCUGCCGGGAAAAAGCAA